This 207-nucleotide ribosomal RNA is filed under the name uncultured bacterium. Its description in RNAcentral is "partial 16S ribosomal RNA". It matches the Rfam family "Bacterial small subunit ribosomal RNA", at positions 568 to 774 of the family's 1533-position model. The record is from RNAcentral.
CGCGCAGGCGGCUUUAUAAGUCUGGAGUGAAAGUCCUCUUUUCAAGGGAGGAAUUGCUUUGGAAACUAUAGAGCUUGAGUGCAGGAGAGGUUAUCGGAAUUCCCGGUGUAGCGGUGAAAUGCGUAGAUAUCGGGAGGAACAUCGGUGGCGAAGGCGGGUAACUGGACUGCAACUGACGCUGAGGCGCGAAAGUGUGGGGAGCAAACA